Molecule: long non-coding RNA, 861 nt
Filed under: Marmota monax (woodchuck)
Lineage: Eukaryota; Metazoa; Chordata; Mammalia; Rodentia; Sciuridae
Source: RNAcentral
GCUUGCUACAGUUUUAUGGAUGUAGCAGAAGGCAUAAAACUCCUGGGUCAGAGUAAAUGGACAGUAUUUCUCAUGGCACAUUAAGCAUCAUAAACCCUGGUACAUCUACGUUGGUUCCCUUUGCUCCCAAGUUCCAAGAGGAUAAUGGAAAGAGCUCAAAUGCCUUGUGUAUGUUCAGAGAAGUAUGUGGCAAGAGAGAAACAUGAGCUUGGAAAUCCACUGCUUUUAUAGCAAGCAGUAGGCAAGCCUAACCUUUAUUCCAGAGACAGACACUUCCUCUUCAUGCAAGCUGGUCUGUUUGCAGCAAACAAAACAAAACUCCAGGUAAGCAGUGGUCAGAGUCUUGCAUUCUCAACAUAGCUAGCAGGAUGUGUAGAAGAAAAGGAAUCCAUAAAGAACUGGCUCCCAAUAGACUUUUUGUAUCAGGUUGAAUGAUAUGAAGUUACUGUUUUUGUAGCUCAAAAGGGUUUUACGAACUGGUGACUUUUAUAUGGUUCAACUUAAUAUUAUCUCAGUGCUAAUAAAAUAUUUCUACAAUGCCUUUUUUCUUUUUCUAGAAAGUUUUAUAAGACUGUGUUUUCUGUUACAAUUUCUUUCUUUCCACCAAACUCUGUCAGUACUUUUUUUCCAUAACUAGUCUUACAAAAGAUCUAGGUCUUCCUGACCUAUAGAUGAAUUAAGAAUUUAAAAUGAUGCAAAAUGAGAAAUUCAGAUGUUGUUCAUGCUUCUAAUUUUUCCUAAAGUGGAGUCAAAACAAGUUAUAGGUUUUUUUCUACUAUGUAUGACUAAGUUCUAUUUUCCUUUAUUUUGUGUAUAUAAUUUGAAUCUCUCAAAUUUAUUAUGGCACUAAGAGAAGCCCAC